UUUUGUAUAAUGGGUCAGCGACUUAUAUUCUGUAGCAAGGUUAACCGAAUAGGGGAGCCGAAGGGAAACCGAGUCUUAACUGGGCGUUAAGUUGCAGGGUAUAGACCCGAAACCCGGUGAUCUAGCCAUGGGCAGGUUGAAGGUUGGGUAACACUAACUGGAGGACCGAACCGACUAAUGUUGAAAAAUUAGCGGAUGACUUGUGGCUGGGGGUGAAAGGCCAAUCAAACCGGGAGAUAGCUGGUUCUCCCCGAAAGCUAUUUAGGUAGCGCCUCGUGAAUUCAUCUCCGGGGGUAGAGCACUGUUUCGGCAAGGGGGUCAUCCCGACUUACCAACCCGAUGCAAACUGCGAAUACCGGAGAAUGUUAUCACGGGAGACACACGGCGGGUGCUAACGUCCGUCGUGAAGAGGGAAACAACCCAGACCGCCAGCUAAGGUCCCAAAGUCAUGGUUAAGUGGGAAACGAUGUGGGAAGGCCCAGACAGCCAGGAUGUUGGCUUAGAAGCAGCCAUCAUUUAAAGAAAGCGUAAUAGCUCACUGGUCGAGUCGGCCUGCGCGGAAGAUGUAACGGGGCUAAACCAUGCACCGAAGCUGCGGCAGCGACGCUUAUGCGUUGUUGGGUAGGGGAGCGUUCUGUAAGCCUGUGAAGGUGUACUGUGAGGUAUGCUGGAGGUAUCAGAAGUGCGAAUGCUGACAUAAGUAACGAUAAAGCGGGUGAAAAGCCCGCUCGCCGGAAGACCAAGGGUUCCUGUCCAACGUUAAUCGGGGCAGGGUGAGUCGACCCCUAAGGCGAGGCCGAAAGGCGUAGUCGAUGGGAAACAGGUUAAUAUUCCUGUACUUGGUGUUACUGCGAAGGGGGGACGGAGAAGGCUAUGUUGGCCGGGCGACGGUUGUCCCGGUUUAAGCGUGUAGGCUGGUUUUCCAGGCAAAUCCGGAAAAUCAAGGCUGAGGCGUGAUGACGAGGCACUACGGUGCUGAAGCAACAAAUGCCCUGCUUCCAGGAAAAG
Molecule: ribosomal RNA, 1008 nt
Filed under: Escherichia coli
Lineage: Bacteria; Pseudomonadati; Pseudomonadota; Gammaproteobacteria; Enterobacterales; Enterobacteriaceae
Description: partial 23S ribosomal RNA
Rfam family: Bacterial large subunit ribosomal RNA
Source: RNAcentral